Molecule: ribosomal RNA, 468 nt
Filed under: uncultured bacterium
Lineage: Bacteria
Description: partial 16S ribosomal RNA
Rfam family: Bacterial small subunit ribosomal RNA
Source: RNAcentral
GACGAACGCUGGCGGCGUGCUUAACACAUGCAAGUCGAACGGAAAGGCCCUGCUUUUGUGGGGUGCUCGAGUGGCGAACGGGUGAGUAACACGUGAGUAACCUGCCCUUGACUUUGGGAUAACUUCAGGAAACUGGGGCUAAUACCGGAUAGGAGCUCCUGCUGCAUGGUGGGGGUUGGAAAGUUUCGGCGGUUGGGGAUGGACUCGCGGCUUAUCGGCUUGUUGGUGGGGUAGUGGCUUACCAAGGCUUUGACGGGUAGCCGGCCUGAGAGGGUGACCGGCCACAUUGGGACUGAGGUACGGCCCAGACUGCUACGGGAGGCAGCAGUGGGGAAUAUUGCACAAUGGGCGGAAGCCUGAUGCAGCAACGCCGCGUGCGGGAUGACGGCCUUCGGGUUGUAAACCGCUUUCGCCUGUGACGAAGCGUGAGUGACGGUAAUGGGUAAAGAAGCACCGGCUAACUACGUG